Long non-coding RNA from Sapajus apella (tufted capuchin), 1047 nucleotides. RefSeq lists it as uncharacterized. Lineage: Eukaryota; Metazoa; Chordata; Mammalia; Primates; Cebidae. The transcript has 2 exons. The record is from RefSeq and is a predicted model, not a curated record.
AACAACAACAACAACAAAAAAAAAAACGACUAUGGGGCAAGGUGACAUAUUUUUCCUUUUUUUAAUAACAAAGCAAAAUUAAGCCAGGGGCAGUGGCACGUUCCUAUACUUCCAGCAACUUGGGAGGCUGAGAUGAGAGGAUCUAUUAUAAUAACUAUGUUAACAUCAGCAUUUACAUCUAGGCUCAACAUGAAAAGCAAAAAUAUACACUGAAUGGAAAAUUACUCAGGAGCCAAAGAACUAUUAGCCUACAUGAAAGGGAAGUCCAGAGAGUGGGUGAUGGCAGAGAAGGGAAGGGGUGAAAUACUUCUGUCCACAAAGGAGGGGCAGGAAGAAAGACUCUGGAGCCUUGGCCUGAGUAGGGGCAAGGCAGAGUCCUCCAAACAGCUUCCCGGAUGGCUCCCAUUCCUGCCCCACACCUAAGACACACAUGGAAACAGGAGCAGAGAGUUUGAAAAUUAUCUCACAAAAUAAACUGCCAGUUUAAGGUAGAAAACACUUAAAAGAAAAGAGGAUAUAGUAGUCUGGAAACUCUGUUGUCAGUUAUGUCAACAUACAGCAAAGAACUUCCAUAAUCUUACUUCUGCAAGUCACUCCCACACUUCUACAGGGCUCUACCACCAAAUAGUGGGAGCCAAGUGUUCUCUGGGUCAGGCCACAAACUGCCAGAGAAAACAGUUGUCCUAAACCUCCAGAGCAGAUAGAAAUUGCAGCAGCAGCCUCGUCACGCACAGCCCAAGGAAUGCUUCUUCACAGAAUCAGCUUUAUGCUUUCAACUGCCUCACUGAGGUAGGAUAAGAACUUAUAUGGUGGUCAGGAGGCAAUGAAGAUUUAUACACAAUCUAUGCUUCUAAUAUACUCCAAACUGACUCAAGUACUGUUUAAAAGCAAAGGAGGGUGUGUAGGAAGUUUGCGUGUAGGAAAACAAGGAAGCGUGCUCAUCUGUGUGAGCCAAAUGGUACACUUCUCUUGAGCAAAUCUUUUGGUUUGAGUGGGGAGAUUCUGAUUUGUGAUCUUUUCUCAAAAACAAAUUCCUACCAAGAUUUU